GCGGAUGGCCGGAUGGCCGCGGCCCCUUCGGGGGGCGAGGAAAGUCCGGACUCCACAAGGCAACGGUGCCGGGUAACGCCCGGCCGGGGCAACCCGAGGGAAAGCGCCACAGAAAACAGACCGCCCCACGGCCGCGCCAGCGGCGGGGGCAAGGGUGAAACGGUGGAGUAAGAGCCCACCGCGCCCCUGGCAACAGGGGCGGCACGGCAAGCCCCACCGGGAGCAAUGCCAAAUAGGGAUCGCGCGUGGCCUCGGCCACAGGGGCGCCUUGCCCCGAGCAGAUCCGGGUUGGCAGCUGGAGGCGGCGCGGCGACGCGUCGUCUAGAUGAAUGGCCAUCCAGGGGGCGUCCGCCCCCGGACAGAAUCCGGCUUACAGGCCGUCCGCGCAC
Molecule: RNase P RNA, 389 nt
Filed under: Pseudoruegeria aquimaris
Lineage: Bacteria; Pseudomonadati; Pseudomonadota; Alphaproteobacteria; Rhodobacterales; Roseobacteraceae
Description: Bacterial RNase P class A
Rfam family: Bacterial RNase P class A
About the family: Ribonuclease P (RNase P) is a ubiquitous endoribonuclease, found in archaea, bacteria and eukarya as well as chloroplasts and mitochondria. Its best characterised activity is the generation of mature 5'-ends of tRNAs by cleaving the 5'-leader elements of precursor-tRNAs.
Source: Rfam by way of RNAcentral